UUAGUAGGUCAUGAAAACAAUUUAACGUGGGUCACCAUCUACAUUAAAAAAAUGAAUAGAAAAUAUCAGACUGCAUUGUAUGCAGCCAGACUAAGCAUUGUUUUGAGAUGCUCCCCCCUAUUUCAUACACACGCAUUUGUGCACUGGGACAUGAUACAAGGCUUUUUCUUUUUUCUUUUUUUGCCUAGGGCUGUAGAUAUAAAAGCUUGAAAACCAUUACUUUGAGAAUCUCUCUGUUGGGAAAAUGAGUCCCUUCAACUCUAGUUGACGCCACUGGGAUGCUAACAGAAAGCAAAUUCUCAGAGGAAAGAUGUGGCAUUCCUGCAGGUCUUCCAUGUACCAGGACUUCUAUUUGCUAGCCACUUUAUGUUCCUCAUCCCAUCCUUCUGUGAGGGACAUACUUUUCGGAUGAGAAACCUAAGCUCUGCGAAGCUAAGGGGAUGGACUGAGGUCCCACAGCAAGCGUGUGGAGGAGCCAGGAUCCGAACCCCAUCGCCAGCCCUUGCCAGUUCCAUGAUUCCGGUGCCAGCGCUCACCUGACCUCCAGGGCUGUCAUGGUGGGAAGGGACUGGAGGGCAUCUGCUGGGCAAAGGAAAGAGACAAACAUCAUCCCAGAGCCUGCCUUCCCUGGGCAAUACCCGGGCCACUCCAGACAUGGCGUCUUUAGCCCUUCCUUGGUCACUGGCCCCCAAGUGAAGAGAGCAUUUUUCUCUGACUCAAGUUCUUUCCUCUGGAUUUGCCAUGCUCCUAUGACAGUCUUCACCCUUCUGAAGCUCUCUCAGGCUCCCCUUCCAGAAAUCCCGCAGGUUCCACCAGCCUCUCUGAGAGCAUAGGCGAGUGGUUGAACGGUGGGCUUUAGAGAUGGCGCGGCACCAGAGUCCUGUGCUGGCUGUGUGAUCCUGAACCUCCUCACUGAGACUCUCAUCUGCAAGAUGGAGACAGACCUGCCUCACAGCGAGGGGGAAUCUGAAAAAGAUGUCUAGAGAGUGCCCAGCAUCAGGCUGGCCUGUCAGGGUACUUGGUCUCUAAGGCAGGCAGCCUCUUCCUUGGAACCGUCCCAGUGCAGGUGACACUCCUUCCUAAUGGAGCUGCCCUGUCCGAUGUCAACUAUAAGCACUCCCUGCAGUCUCCAACCGGGGUUCUAGUUCUAGUCUUCUGGACAGCUGUAGGACUCAGUUCAUUUAAAGAUCAUUGGUGUUGGACACAACUCUCGCCCAAUAAACAACUCAGCACUAGCUCCUCCUGGCUUAGGGGAGCAGCUCCUCUGCUUCCCCACAUGCUCUCCAGAAGGAUCGAGAGCGCCCCUCCCAGAAGAGUUCUAAAUGUCCCAGCUGAUGGCCUCCCAUAGACGUUCCACGCUGGCCACAGUUGCAGGCCUCAGAUGGGCAGCCAAGCCCAGUGCUGACCUGUGAGCUUCUCCACCUCUCUGCAUCAGGAGUCAGGUGGGGGUGCUGAACAGACCCUGCAGCAUGGCUCCUCCAGCAGUCUGGGCCCCAGGACAUCCCUUUAGCCCCAUUAGAUCCCUGGGACAGAGGCAAGGGCAGGGGGGAAGGGGAGGGAAGACCCAAGAGCAAUACAAGCAAUAGUCUCUCCUGUCCCAUGCCUUCGCACAUGCAGGGACCUUGCCACAAGUUCCCUUCCUCACCUGCGUAUCUGGGGAAUUCCUUUCCAUCUCUGAAGUCAUAGUUUAUGCUGUACCCCUGUGUGGUCUUCCCUGACGACCAGGCUUCACCACCAACUCAAAAUAAUCAGUCCCUUGCUCCUUCCUCCACCCUCAAGGAUCCACAUCCACAAAGAAAAUGUGCUACAUAUACACUGAUAUGGUUUGGCUGUGUCUCCACCCAAAUCUCUUGAAUUGUACUCCCAUAAUUCCCACGUGUUGUGGGAGGGAGAUAAUUUGAAUCAUGGGGGGGGCAGUAUCCCCCAUACUAUUGUUGUGGUAGUGAAUAAGUCUCACAAGAUCUGAUGGUUUUAUCAGGGGUUUCUGCUCUUGCAUCUUCCUCAUUUUCUCUUGCCGCCACCGUGUAAGAAGUGCCUUUCACUUCCUGCCAUGAUUCUGAGGCCUCCCCAGCCAUAUGGAACUGUAAGUCCAAUUAAACCUCUUUUUCUUCCCAG
RNAcentral lists this long non-coding RNA (2115 nucleotides) under Pongo abelii (Sumatran orangutan). RNAcentral's name for it is "lincRNA". Lineage: Eukaryota; Metazoa; Chordata; Mammalia; Primates; Hominidae. The record is from RNAcentral.